AAGUGCCUACAGCUCUUAUUGAAUUUGCCCAGCAGGUCUUCAGGCUUGUACCGAAAGGCCCUC
This 63-nucleotide small nuclear RNA is filed under the name Myotis davidii. Its description in RNAcentral is "U7 small nuclear RNA". It matches the Rfam family "U7 small nuclear RNA". Rfam says of the family: Animal histone pre-mRNAs are spliced by a different mechanism than nuclear pre-mRNAs and self-splicing introns. This processing involves the U7 snRNP, which contains only one RNA species: U7. The 5' end of U7 RNA is thought to base-pair to a conserved spacer element downstream of the cleavage site in histone pre-mRNA. Lineage: Eukaryota; Metazoa; Chordata; Mammalia; Chiroptera; Vespertilionidae. The record is from Rfam by way of RNAcentral.